RNAcentral lists this long non-coding RNA (2234 nucleotides) under Homo sapiens (human). RNAcentral describes it as "HSALNT0336615". The record is from RNAcentral. Lineage: Eukaryota; Metazoa; Chordata; Mammalia; Primates; Hominidae.
GCCUUUGCAGCCUCCAUACUUAGCGAUGGCCUCCUGGACCCACUUUCUCUCUCAAACUGUCUUUUCUCAUUCCUUUGACUCUGCUGGACUUCGUCAUCCCCACGACCCGGUGUUGAGUCUGAUCACCCAACAUCAUCAGGAUAGAAGCUUCCCUCUCCUCCUCCAGACCUUGUGGUGUGCACGUGGGAGUCCAGGGACUAGAAUACUCAUUUUCAAAGCCUGACAUUGGACCCGGGAGACAGGGAAAAACCAUCCUCAGGAAGUCACAAGAGAAAGAGAGAGCACAGAGGUAUACAGCAUGUGAAACUUUGGACUGCUCAAAGAAGACAUUUUCAAACAUAUCUUUUCAGGACUGUCAAUAGGAACCGUAAGUGAGUUUCAGGUUCGCUCAUCUAAUUGUAGCAGUUAACUGACUGACAAGGUGAAGAAGGAUUGUGGUUUUCUGUUUCAGAUGGAAAAACUAAAAACAUAAGAGAAUCUCACAAUUAUCCACAUAUGCCCCAAAAGUUCAUACUACAGAAGAAUCUAUAUAUACUUAAACAGACUAUUGAGAAAAGUCAAGUUGUUUUUCUAUAUGAACCCAAUAAUGCAUUUUCAAGACACUGGAUAAAUUUAAAGUAAGGGUCUUACACAUUUACUACUGAAGGGCCAGUUAAUACAAAAAGAUCUAAUGCCGUUAUUGCAGACUUAUUCAACCAAAUUUCCAGCUAAUGCUUUUUAAAGAAUAAUUUCACAAGAAGUUUUAUUUUGGGCACAUGCCUUUGGUCUAUACUCCUUUUUGUCAAGUCAGCCAUAGCCUAUGAUCAAUGUGAGUUCUCCAGCCCACUUAAACAUGCACCCAUUCGAACACAUUGAGACCCACCUUCAGAUAGGAUGCCUAUAUUCUUUGGAUAGGCACUUAUUAGGUAAUGAAACAAUGAUAAGUAAUAACUGUCCUUUUAUAAUUGCUUACCUAAAAGAAAAAAGCUCAAUCACCUAGCCAGGUAAAACUCUUGUCAAGUAUUCACACAAUGUACUGUAACAUGAACCAAAUGCCUAAAUGAUACAUUUCUGCCCUCCAGAUACUUAAAACCUAAGUGGUACACACACACACACACACACACACACACACACACACAGACACACACACACACACACAUCUAUAGUCACCCUAUAUGGUUAAAAUGGAAAGAAGUACUAUAAAAAGAAAGAAAUAGUGUAAGAACCAACUUCCUAGUUGGAAAGUAGGUAUGCGAGAGACCAGUAUUUUAAUUUUUUUUCUCAAUCUUAGAAAAACGGGCAUUUUCCAGGAAACGGAAAGACUAGAAAUAAAAGUAGAAGAAAAAGGCUUAAACAAUAUUCUCCUUUAACUUUCUGUGAUACAUAUUCAUGCUAGUUUAAAAAAAAAAAUUCUCAAAGUAACUACAGCGGGAAUGUAGUAAGGUCACCAGAAGAAAUGUCCUGGGUCCAUUGGCCCAAUCUCUUACUGCUGGAUGAUGCGUGUGAAGAAACCAGAGAGGCGCAGAGUGAGGCAGUGAGGAAAUAAAAAUAGAGUCCGCGCUUUCAAGUGUUUCCUGAUCUGCUGGGGAAAAUGGUCAUAUUAACACAUGGAGUCAUGGCACAGUGUGUGCUAAGGAUCAUGGUAAAGGUGUACACAGUGAUUUGCUAACAAGAGGGAUAGAAGGUGUGGCUCAGGGAAUGACACAGCUGUCUGAAAGAGUCAAAAUGUACCACAGAGAACGUGACAGAGAUCUGGAUCUCAAAGAAAUGAGAGGUUGCCUAGGGAGCAACAACAAGGAGGGCAUUCCUGGCAGAGGAAAUGGCAUGUGCAAAGAGACAUCAAGAGGAUGAAGCAUUAGAAAUAUAACUAAAUUAUGGUUAUAGCUUGGGUGCCUAUUAAUAGAUCUGCUCAAUAUUAGGCAAAAACAAUAACAAUUGAGAAUUUGUAUAUCAUCUUUGGUGUCUUCUUUGAUAACUUAUUUUGUGUAUGUGUGUUUUUCUUUCCUGCUACUACUCUGGAGACUUGUUCCACUGGUGACCUUUAUGCAUUCUAAACAAUCGUAAUUUCACAGAGUAAGUUGUUCUCUUCUCCCUAUGUGUUUUGUCACUAGCCAUUGUUUUAAAGUAGCUUGCUUGGUUUUUUGUAUUGCAUCUUGUGAAAGCCUAGAUGCCUAGGGGCUUUCAUACAAAUGUAGAAGUCAAAAUACAUUUCUUCUUGGAAGGUAAUAAAGUGUGAAUGUUUUCAACAAAUAAAG